GGCAUAAAUGAAAGAUUCUUCUAAGAAGUUCUGUUACUAUUGGAAAAGAAUUGUGGGGAAAUUAACAAGAUGAACCCAGUCAGACUUUCUUGCCCUAUGUUUUCACUCCUAGAAGGGGACGACAGAGGAUGAGAUCGCUGGAUGGCAUCACUGACUUGAUGGACGUGAGUCUGGGUGAACUCUGGGAGUUGGUGUUGCACAGGGAGGCCUGGCGUGCUGCGAUUCAUGGGAUUGCAGGGUCGGACACAACUGAGCAACUGAACUGAAUUGAACUGAACCCCGUGUUCUGUAAACAAUGACUUUACACGUUUAUGUAACAGCUGAGAUCACUCACAGAACUGCGCAUGCAUGUUACGAGGUACUCACUCAGUCACGGGCUACUUUGUGCUGUACACCUGUUUGAGCUUCACUAUGAAAGCCCUGGCUGCUGCUGCAUUGGGGCUACACUGGAGCGACAUCAUGAUUACGUUAUAUGAGUUUUAGCUAUGGCUCCGUUAUGGUUACGUUGUGGCUGCGGCUACAGCCACUGCGUCAGCCAGGAUAGAGGCUGUGUUACCGCUUCUGUGCCAGCCAGGAGAGAAUAAACAUGUCUGUAGUUCCUACAGGACCUUGAGUCUUCUUCCAGCAUCUUAACUCGUGCCUUGCCUGACAUGAGAUCAGCAAACAGUGCCCACAGUGUGAACAGCAAGACAAUUGGCAUCACGAACAGGAUCAGCAAUACAAGAACAAAUGAGACUCAGGGUCUUCAUGGAGUUAUGUUGAAAGGCCUUACCUCUACGCUCUGCUGCUGCUGCUUCUAAGUUGCUUCAGUCGCGUCCGACUCUGUGUGACCCCAUAGACGGCAGCCCACCAGGCUCCCCCAUCCCUGGGAUUCUCCAGGCAGGAACACUGGAGUGGGUUGCCGUUUCCUUCUCCAAUGAAUGAAAGUGAAAAGUGAAAGUGAAGUUGUUCAGUCAUGUCCGACUCCCAGCUACCCUAUGGACUACAGCCUACCAGGUUCCUCCGUCCAUGGGAUUUUCCAGGUAAGAGUACUGGAGUGAUGGGCUCCUUUUCCUCUCAUGGUGAGUUUGCAGAUCUCACACAGAGGCUGGCAAUUCUGGACGUGGACUAUAAAACCAGAUUUGUUUAACUAUCACCUUCUGUCCUAAUGUCAGUUCUUUAUGGGAUUAGGUAAAUAAAAUGACAGCAAUAAAUCA
This is a long non-coding RNA of Bos indicus x Bos taurus (hybrid cattle), 1196 nucleotides long. The record is from Ensembl. Lineage: Eukaryota; Metazoa; Chordata; Mammalia; Artiodactyla; Bovidae.